GGGGAAUAUUGCACAAUGGGCGCAAGCCUGAUGCAGCGACGCCGCGUGGGGGAUGACGGCCUCCGGGUUGUAAACUCCUUUCGCUAGGGACGAAGCUUUUUGUGACGGUACCUAGAUAAGAAGCACCGGCUAACUACGUGCCAGCAGCCGCGGUAAUACGUAGGGUGCGAGCGUUGUCCGGAAUUACUGGGCGUAAAGGGCUCGUAGGUGGUUUGUCGCGUCGUCUGUGAAAUUCCGGGGCUUAACUCCGGGCGUGCAGGCGAUACGGGCAUAACUUGAGUACUGUAGGGGUAACUGGAAUUCCUGGUGUAGCGGUGAAAUGCGCAGAUAUCAGGAGGAACACCGAUGGCGAAGGCAGGUUACUGGGCAGUUACUGACGCUGAGGAGCGAAAGCAUGGGUAGCGAACAGGAUUAGAUACCCUGGUAGUCCAUGCCGUAAACGGUGGGCGCUAGGUGUGAGGGUCUUUUCACGACUUUCGUGCCGUAGCUAACGCAUUAAGCGCCCCGCCUGGGGAGUACGGCCGCAAGGCUA
Molecule: ribosomal RNA, 532 nt
Filed under: uncultured bacterium
Lineage: Bacteria
Description: bacterial SSU rRNA
Rfam family: Bacterial small subunit ribosomal RNA
Source: RNAcentral